RNAcentral lists this long non-coding RNA (569 nucleotides) under Homo sapiens (human). RNAcentral describes it as "non-protein coding lnc-CCDC188-2:2". The record is from RNAcentral. Lineage: Eukaryota; Metazoa; Chordata; Mammalia; Primates; Hominidae.
CAGUUCUCUUCCCAGCCCGAAGUCCAGCAGGUGUGAGGUCAGGCCCAGCCCAGGCCUCCUGCAGGGAGGACAGUCCCCAGAGCCAAGCAAGAGAGGUCCAGGCCCAGCGCACAAGUGUCGUGCCAACCUCUGCCCACAGCAGCUUAGGAGCAGCCCAUUGGCCAAGUGCAUCCGAGGCCGGCCCAGAGCCCAGAGGUGGAGACCAGUACCCGCCUCUUGAUGUAGGAGGUGAAGUCACCUUGCAGGGGGGCCAGGACACCGGGAGAGGAGGGAACGGGGCUCUUCCUACCAUAUGAGGACUUCUCCGAGCCAGCUUUCUGAGGGUUAACUGACGGCUGAUGGGUUCAAGAAGGAGGACACGGGCACAGGGACUCAGGGGCAGUGAGGGGCAGCAGGGCCGAUGGUGUGAGGAGCACCAGGGAGCAGGAGGGAACGGGCCUGGGGCGUGAAUCUGGCCCUACUGUCGGAUGAGUUCUCUUCCGCCACCCAAAUCUGGUCCGACCGUUAACAGCGUGGCCUUCGGCAAGUGACUAAAGGGCUUCCUGCCUCAGCUUUCCCACCCAUAAACA